Molecule: long non-coding RNA, 2386 nt
Organism: Labrus mixtus (cuckoo wrasse)
Lineage: Eukaryota; Metazoa; Chordata; Actinopteri; Labriformes; Labridae
Exons: 2
Source: RefSeq, a predicted model, not a curated record
AGAGUAAGAGUGAGAGAGAGUAAGAGAGAGAGUGAGAGUGUUUUAUGAUUCAGUUGUUCAUCUUUAAAAGUGCUUCCUAGUUUUCAUUGAACAUCGAGGUAGCAUUAUCCACAAACUGUAAAGCGACGCCCCCACUGUCUCGUUUCAAACUGAGCAACACGUGUUUGUAUAAACAACGACGUGACGUGCAUGCCGAGUCUGACACAAAGGUAACUGAUCCUUUCUUUCUUUUUUUUGUCUUUUCUAAACGGGCUGCGUUCAACGUGUCUCCGGCGUUGGAGACGCUGAAACACUGAUCUUUUUGUACAAUCCUGGUCGUUGUACUAUAUUUUAUGAUGUCGUUUUUUUUGGACAGGAGGUGAAGCGACAGCUUUGAGACUGAAGGACUCUUUUUCUCCUCACUGUGUGUGUGCACUAUCUCUGCCUCCGAUGAAGCAAUCUGAAGGUUAUUUAACACAAAAAAAACUACAAUUUGUAAUCUUUUGUAUCCAUGUUUAAUUUAUUGAUUAGAACAAUGACUGUUUAUUGACAUUGUGAUUAUUAUUAUGCACUGACAACAAGGCCCUUAUACUGUGUUCAUGUUUCUUUUUGUUCUUGUUUUUGCAUGACUGGCACUUUGGGUUUUUUUUGUUGUCCUUUCCGUUUCUGUGAUCAGCCUUAAUUUCUGAUAGUCGAGCACAACAGCAGUCUCAGGGGAAGAAGUGCAUUUGUGUGCGUGUUCAGAGAGUGUGUGUGUGUGUGUGUGUGUGUGUGUGUGUGUGUGUGUGUGUGUGUGUGUGUUACCCAUGGCUUCGUCUCUUCCUGUAUAUAACGACCCCACGAUCUUCAACGAGGGGUCGAUGUGCACAUGCCAUCUUUUUUGAACCGUGUUGCUGUUGCACAUCUCCGCCCUCCUCACUCUUCUUGUAACAAGGUAUUUCAGUCAGCUGCUCGAAUGUGGAGACAAUCCUGAGCCACCUCCCACCAUCACGUCCUUGUUUCUGGUGACAUGAUAGCAGGACUUUGGCGGUCCACAUGUCGAGUUUUGUGCCAUCGGGUAACUUUAGUCGAGGAUUAUUCCUGCCAUCUGUAACCACUGAAGACGUUUUUUAGUUUUGAAUGAAGUUAGUGUACAGUGGUGUUGUAGUACCGCAAAUCUCAGUCUCGAGACCACUUUUUGAAGGACUCGUCUCAGUAUCAGACUGGGUGGACUCCGGAUUUUAAAUCCAGACCGGACCAGACCACCACUGAUUGGCUAUUUUUCCAAGUCACUCUGAUUUGAAAGAACACGCCCCUUUCUUAAACAACACAUAACUUCAAUUUAUUCAGAAUUCGAUUUUUAUCCCCCUUGGUCUUGAUUCAGCAUCGAUCUUUAAAGGUCUUGGUCUUGAUUCGGCCUCGAUCCCUAAAGGUCUUGGUCUUGAUUCGGCCUCGAUCCCUAAAGGUCUUGGUCUUGAUUCGGCCUCGAUCCCUAAAGGUCUUGGUCUUGAUUCGGCCUCGAUCCCUAAAGGUCUUGGUCUUGAUUCGGCCUCAAUCCCUAAAGGUCUUGGUCUUGACUCGGCCUCGAUCCCUAAAGGUCUUGGUCUUGAUUCGGCCUCGAUCCCUAAAGGUCUUGGUCUUGAUUCGAUGGUCUUGAUUCGGCCUCAAUCCCUAAAGGUCUUGGUCUUGACUCGGCCUCGAUCCCUAAAGGUCUUGGUCUUGACUCGGCCUCGAUCCCUAAAGGUCUUGGUCUUGAUUCAACCUCGAUCCCUAAAGGUCUUGGUCUUGACUCAGCCUCGAUCCCUAAAGGUCUUGGUCUUGAUUCGUUGGUCUUGACUCGGCCUCGAUCCCUAAAAGUCUUGGUCUUGAUUCGGCCUCGAUCCCUAAAUGUCUCGGCCUUGUCUCGGUCUCGGAGCACUCUGGUCUCGGGUAUGUCUUGGUCUCGGUUGGUGUGGUCUUGACUACAACACUAGCGUACAGUUUGAUUUGUAUUUCUGCUCGUUGUGUUUCAGAGAGGAUUUAUAAAAAGUAACGAUCCCGUUUUCUGUCCAUUAAACUCAUUUCCUGUUUUUGUAUUUUUUUUUGGAAAUGUCCGUCAAACGAUUGACUUCUUCUUCAUGUUUAUAUUUACAUAUCAAUAUAACACUCCUGAUAUAGCAGGGAGUUAGCCACCAGGGGGGGUCUGGAUCCAGCGCUCCUGGUCCCCUCUGAAGCUCGUGUUGUAGUUCUAUAAAGAGAAAAACAUUCAGAUUAAAGGGUUUGUAUAUAAGUGAAUGUUUCCCCGUGUAAAUGUCUACUUUAAAAAAAACACCCGAUCAAAUAACAUAUUCAGCAAAUAUACAUUUUGUAAUUAAUGUUACUACACUGUUGAUGUGAUGGCAUGUGUAUGAGCUUUUAUCAGCAUUAAAAUAAAUAUAUCAUUGCCAUA